CACCCACCCAGUGCAUCCACAUGGAGUGGACUGAGCUGGUGGCAGCAGAGCUGCGUUUUCCCACUGCUGCAAAGAUGGGGUUGGGUGGGAGUGGUGGGGAUGGGCUGAUGGUUGGGUUUGAUCUUAAAGGUCUUUUCCAAUCUUAAUGACUCUAUGAUAGCGCUGCCUGAAGUCCUCCCCUCCUAUUGCCCAGUGGUAUCGAGAGCAUGAGGAACAAGGGAGCAGAGGGCUCUGUCUGAUGCCAGCCCUCCGUGCUGGGCUGACCCUGGCCAUCCCAUGUUAUGCUGUGACCCUCUGUGUCUUGCAGGGUCUGACUGCAAGCCGUGCUUACGGGAGCUCGCUGACCGCAGUCCCUCUGCUUUGGAGUAUCACAGCCCCAAGCGUUUCCUCCCGUCCCUGAUUGCUGAGGAUGACACCUUGUUCACCAGCAUGGCCGAAGAAAAGGCAAGUGUGCCCCUUUCCUUCCACUGCCAGCACGUAGGGCAGCAGCUGGGCUUAGCAAACGGAGGGGUCAGAGCCAUAUUCAGCAAGGUCUGUGAUGGAGUAGGGAUGGGAGAAAGGAGUACUGACCCAAACUAACUAGUGAUACAAGGUUAUAGUGCUUCUGUUGCUGAGCAUUAGUGGGGAUGAGGCACGGAGAGAUGUUAAGGGCUGGAAGCAACCUUCAUAAAUCCCCAGAGCAAAGUCAGCAGGUGGGUAAUGGGGCAGAUAUGUGCUGGGCAGCCCCAGCAUGGAAAGUGCCCUUGGCAGGAGGUGUGUGAGGAUCUCGGAUGGACUCAGUGUGCUCAGGCUGAGCCUUUGCUGCCUUUGCAGGAGGAUUCAUCUUCCACAGAGCUGGAUGUCCCAACAGCAGACACACACAGCAGCACGGAGGAUCUCCUCUCAGACUCCGCUCUGCACGGCACGGAGUAUUACAAAGACCUGGGGCUCCUGAGCCCACCAGCUGACAGAACAGUGCCAGAGAUGGCAGCACAGCCAGAAGCAGCCCCCCAGGCUGCAUCUGCCAUUUGCUUAUUGGAGGAGAGAUCCAGAGCUCUGGGAAAGGUGUCUGUGGAUGUGGCUUUUUCCAAUCCCAUCUCCUGCUCGGUGCGUUAUGGUGAGGCUGACUGCCACUCUCUGAACAAAGCCAGUUCAGAAACCACCACUGCUGGGUGCCCUGCAGAGGAAGAUGAAGCUUUGGAUCUCCAGGAGGCCUCAGAGUCCUUCCCCACACUGGUGAGAUCCAUGUCUACCUCUAGGAGGCACAGCUGGGAGAGCCCCUUGUCACCUGUGGACUGCAAGCGCAGGUUCAGCUUGGAUACCACAGAGAGAAGCAGUGAUCCAGAGCAGGAGGAGGCGGAUAAAGGGAGCAGGUCCUGCACGCAGCCUCGUGUGUCCCUGCAGCUGCCUGGGGGGAAGCAGGGAGCCUGGAGCAGCAGUUCAGGCAACAUGGUGAUCAAAGUGCAGAUAGAACCACUGCGACCCAGCGGCCCAGCCAGCCUGGGCUCAGAGGAGGCGGUGAGUGUGCAGUGGGGUGCAGCACCCUGACACUGCCUGGGUGGGCACACAUGGUGGGGGGCUGCGGGAAGGCAGGGAUGACUGCUGGCAUUUGGCAUGGGAGCCCCAUUCCCUGCCUUGCACCUUGCCAGCUGUGCCCUGAUGGAAGCUCUCUUGGUGCACAAAGGACCAAAGAUGUCCAUGACUUUUUACUUCUCUAGGAACGUGCCAGUGAUGGGAAGAGGCUGAGGCCACUGUCCAUCCCAUCAGCCUGCAAGGCUGCCUCCCCCCAGGCACCCUGUGGUUUCAACGCUUCUCUUUCAGCCAUGGAAGGUUUGUACAGACUUCAAAUAAGUUCAGCUCAUCUGUGAUUAAGUCAUAAAACCAGAGAUGCAGCCUCUGCAAGUCUAGACAGCCUCUGCCCUUCUCUUCCAUGUGGUCCCAGGAGCACCCAAGAUGAAGUCAAGCUGACUUGAUGUCUGAUCUCAGCUCAGAGCAGUCUAAGCAUAGAUAUGUCCCCAGUGACUCAUUGCCAUAUAUUGGUCAUUCCCCACUCACACGAGUCAAUGACAGUAUCCUAGGAACAAAUGUAGAGAAUUGUCCAGAAGUAAGUGGAGGAACAGCCAUGCAGGGAAACUGGGGGGUCUCUGGGUGGUGCCAGCCCCUAUCAUCUAGCUGGAAUCCAGCUGCAAGCAGGAAUUCAGUGUAAUAUAGACUGGAGAGGGAAGGUGUGAUACUGAAAACCAGGGUGUCUGCUGAGAGUGUUUUCUGUUCCAGGUGUUGAACCUCCUGCUCUGGAGAUGCUGGAGAAGGACCAUGUGUCCCCAGACCAAGUGUAGGUAUUGUCAGUCCUGGCUGUUUUGAGAUGACUGAGGUUUUUGUGUGCAUCUGACCUACUGGAGAUCCAUCAACAAGCCAUAAGGAAGAUCCCACUCUACUCUAGGGCACAGCUCAGUAGUUGGUUGUAGAUGCUUGAUUCUUUGUGGGGUGCAGAAUUCCUUUGCAAGGAAAUUUUCUGAUUGUUUGCUUUUCUUCUGCUCUAUCCCUCAUA
RNAcentral lists this long non-coding RNA (2527 nucleotides) under Coturnix japonica (Japanese quail). RNAcentral's name for it is "lncRNA (ENSCJPG00005011933.1)". The record is from RNAcentral. Lineage: Eukaryota; Metazoa; Chordata; Aves; Galliformes; Phasianidae.